RNAcentral lists this ribosomal RNA (78 nucleotides) under Acanthosepion pharaonis. Lineage: Eukaryota; Metazoa; Mollusca; Cephalopoda; Sepiida; Sepiidae. The record is from RNAcentral.
CGUUUGAUCACAGAAGUUAAGCAUCGUAGAGCCAGGUCAGUACUUAAAUGGGGGACCGCUUGGGAACAUGGUACUGUA